This 1371-nucleotide long non-coding RNA is filed under the name Marmota monax (woodchuck). The record is from RNAcentral. Lineage: Eukaryota; Metazoa; Chordata; Mammalia; Rodentia; Sciuridae.
AAAGUUUUUUAGGCCUACAGAUUGUUAAUAUGUAUUCUGACUUUUUUUCCUUGGAGUCUUGUAUAUUUAUAGUUUUCUAUAUAAACUGUAGUAUCUUCAUGAAGACUGAGGCUCAAACUUACUGUGCUUAAAAACAAUUCUCAUAGGAUUAUUAUUUUCAUGGUAUUUUCUUCCAUAAUAUCUCAUUUUUAAAAGAGGUUCUUUAUGAACUUGGUGUCCAUUGUCAUGCAAUGUUAUUUUUUUUUUCCUUUUUUCCUCCCUGUAAGUUUAGAUGUUCUGGUCUUGGGGAAGAGAAUCAAAACCUUAAGUUCUAUGAGCACAUGGGUCAUUGACAUAUUUCACUGAAGAAAGAAAAAUUAAAUUGAUAGUAAUACAUAGUCCUCAAUUGUUUAUUUAAGCUUUUUGUAUUAGUUCCUACUGUCACUUUAGUUCCUUUAUUAUGUGUUUGAUUUUUUUUACCCUAUUAAAAUAUCAGAAAUAUGGAGAUAUUUUGCACUUUAGCCUUGAUGAAAAGUACAAGAUAUGUUCAAAGCUUCCCUAAUUCUUUUCUUAUUGGUAGCCACAUAAGUUUUGAGAACAAUGUGGUACAUGGAGAAAAUAGGUUUGCUUCUGUUUGAAAAGUGUGCUUAGCAUUUUAAGUUGCUAUACCAGUGUAUAAAUUUGGUGCUCUGCUAAUUAUACUCUGUAGAAGCAGAUUAAUGGAGCUUAAGCCCUGCUUUGAUAAAUAGUGAAAGGUAAUUCUGUAGAAGAAUGUCAGCCACUACAACAGGGUGAAGUUAUUCUACUCUUACUAGUUUUAUAUUACAGGACAGUGUUGACUGGGAGCCAGAAGGCUUUAUGCUAACAGGUCAGAAAAAAGAUUGACUUAUAUGUUAUUUUCAUUCCUGUCCUGAUUGUAGGUAUGUUUUAAAUUUUAUAUUAUCCACAGUAUUUACAAAGACAUGUUUUGCAUUGAGAAAUUAACCCCAAAGGGUUUUGAGAGGAGGGAGUAGACCUCCAAUACCGAUGUAACUAAAGUCUGUCUAGUCAUUGUAAAUAUUUAUCUGUCAAUUUUGACAGAUUGGGGCCAGCUUGAUGUUUUAAAUCUUGAGUAUAAAAAUUUAAAGCCUUAUUCAAUUUUUUACCAUUUUAUUGAAUAUAUUUGAAAUCUGUUUUUACAGUGUUUUUGGUAAUUGUGCCAUGAAAUUUGAAAACCACCAAAAAUUAAGAGAACUUUUAUAAAUUCCUUUUCUGGUGUAAUGUUAAGUUGUAUAGAUUAUUAAUGCAUGUCCAAUGAAUAUAACCCUGGUUUUGUGAUAAAUCUGCUUAGAUUUUAUUGGUGACAUGUUAGAUUAGUGGUUGCAUCAAAUAACUAAAUUCCCCCCCCCCCAA